CCCCCCUUAAAAUGGCUAUUUACGAUAACAACUGUUACUGUCCCUAGCAUGUCCCUAGCUGCCUGCAGCUCAUCUGUCUUAACAAGCAUCGAACUCUUCACUCCGUGGGUAACCCGCGGUAGCUAGUCCACCACAUCUCCGCACGUGAAACUUGCCUGUAGAGACAGACGCUUUCCCUACAGGAAAGCAGUUGUCUGUUUAAAUUGGUGGGAUUGGAGGGGUGUAUGUGGUGUGUCACAUUCUAGGUCAGUGACGUCCUGGUGUAGGAAAGUAGGGGUUACGUUGUCUAUAGCCUUCCCUACUGUCUUCUGUAAGUACUUUUGUAUACAAGGAAGUACACAACAGGUUAGAAAUAGGAAGAUGAUGAUCAUUAUGAGAACUGCUGUCCCAACCUGGAAUAGGGUUCUCUGCCAACCAUUCAUCCAUCCAAACCAUCUGUCGCAGGUAUCAAUGACUCCUGAGUUCUUUCUUAGUUCAUCUGAAAGGCUAUCUAGUUUCUC
Pelobates cultripes (western spadefoot toad) is the source of this 500-nucleotide non-coding RNA. The record is from the annotation of a GenBank genome assembly. NCBI's taxonomy places the organism in Eukaryota, Metazoa, Chordata, Amphibia, Anura, Pelobatidae.